UGGUGGAGUGAUCUGUCUGGUUAAUUCCGAUAACGAACGAGACCUUAUCCUGCAAAAUAGGCCUGCAAACUUUUGUUUGUGGUUGUCUUCUUUGAGGGACUAUUGACGUGUAGUCAAUGGAAGUUUGAGGCAAUAACA
Molecule: ribosomal RNA, 138 nt
Filed under: uncultured eukaryote
Lineage: Eukaryota
Description: partial 18S ribosomal RNA
Rfam family: Eukaryotic small subunit ribosomal RNA
Source: RNAcentral